Molecule: ribosomal RNA, 482 nt
Filed under: uncultured bacterium
Lineage: Bacteria
Description: partial 16S ribosomal RNA
Rfam family: Bacterial small subunit ribosomal RNA
Source: RNAcentral
GACGAACGCUGGAGGCGUGCUUAACACAUGCAAGUCGAACGAUGAAAUGGAGCUUGCUCCAUGGAUUAGUGGCGAACGGGUGAGUAACACGUGAAUAACCUGCCCUUAAUUUUGGAAUAACCCAGGGAAACCUGGGCUAAUACCGGAUAAGUAAACCUGUGGCAUAACAUGGUUUUGGAAAGUUUUUCGAUUAAGGAUGGAUUCGCGGCCUAUCAGCUUGUUGGUGAGGUAAUGGCUCACCAAGGCGACGACGGGUAGCCGGCCUGAGAGGGUGAACGGCCACACUGGGACUGAGACACGGCCCAGACUCCUACGGGAGGCAGCAGUGGGGAAUAUUGCGCAAUGGACGAAAGUCUGACGCAGCGACGCCUCGUGAGGGACGAAGGUCUUCGGAUUGUAAACCUCUUUCAGCAGGGACGAAGCGAAAGUGACGGUACCUGCAGAAGAAGCACCGGCUUACUAUGUGCCAGCCGCCGCGGUAA